This is a long non-coding RNA of Cebus imitator (Panamanian white-faced capuchin), 2726 nucleotides long. RefSeq lists it as uncharacterized. The transcript is spliced from 6 exons. NCBI's taxonomy places the organism in Eukaryota, Metazoa, Chordata, Mammalia, Primates, Cebidae. The record is from RefSeq and is a predicted model, not a curated record.
GGCGCGGUCCCAGCGAGGUUCGGAGAAGCCGUAGUGGCUUCCAUGUGAUGGGGGAGCAGGAGGCAGGUCUGCGCGGUUUAUCUGGGUUGCUCCACAUGACACUGUUUCAUCAUUUUGGUGGCCGAAGAACAUUCCCUAUUGUGUACAUAAAGAGUGUUUCUUGAUCCCUUUAUCUGUGGAUGGACAGGAGAUGAAGAUGUUUUCAGUCUGCAUGCCUGAGAUUGUGUGGAAUGGGACUUUGUCUAACAGGCUCAUUCAUUGGACCUGACGUUCUCCAGGUUUCUUCAUGUGGCUGCAGAUGGCAGGAUUUCCCAGAGCGUUAUGGUUGGAACAUACUCUGUGGUGUAUCUGUACAGCAGUUUCUUCAUCCCUGCAGCUGUGUGUGGACGGGUCAUAUACCAUGAUGUCCUCCAGGUUCAACAGUGUGGCUCCAAAUGAUGAAAUUUCAUUCUGGUUUUCUGGUUGAAGACGAUUCUACUUGUGUACAUCCACCAGGUAUCCCUUCAUUUGCGGAUGGGCAGGUUUUUCCAUGUGGCUACAAGUGACGAGAUUUCACCCAUUUCUAUGAUUGAAGAAUAUUCUACUCUGGAUGUAUAUUGUAAUUUCCUCAUCCCUUCAUCAAUGGAUGUACAGGGAACAUUCAUUCUAUGUGGAUGGAAGCUGUAUCUCAGUGCAGUUUUCCUUGACAUUCUUGUGAGGAUUAGUGCUUUUGAGAAACUUUUCUUUUCCCUGUGAGUCAGUUUCACAUCUGCUUUGCAGACACGUCUAUUCAGGUCCUUUGCCCAGACUUAGCUUGGGUGUUUGUUUUUGUUCCCCCCCCCCAUGGUAGUGUUAGUUUCUUGCACAUAUUUUAUAAUGACCCCUUUCAAAGACAGGAUUUUCCAUAGUUUUCUUUCAGUCUCUGAGGCACCUUCUCUUCUGUUCAUUGUUUUCUUUUUGCAGCAGAAGAUCCGAUGUUUUCCGUAGUUGCACGUGUUUACAUAUUAGUGGUGACUUCUGUGUGCAGUUAAAAACAGUGAAAAAGAUUGCCAAUCCAUGGGAUUGUCUAUGGUUUUUUUAAUUCUAAUUUUCUUUUCUUUUUAUAUUUCACAUUUUGCAACUUGUGUGCAUAGAUUAGUCUUCUAAACUAUGUGCUUACCGUUUGUUUCCUGAGGGAAGUAAAUGGUUGCAAGAUUGAGUUUAGGCCUUCAAUGUAAUUUACAUCGAUUUUUGUCCUAUUUCACUGUUUUUCGUGUGGCUGUCAAGUUUGCUCAAAAUCAUUUAUUAUUUUCCCAUUGUAUCUUUUUGUGUUGUGUUGAAAAAUGUGUUCAGUGUACAUUCAUUUGGGUGGCAUGUGGGACUCCCUCAUUCUGUCCAUUGGGUAGCCUUUCUAUUUUUAUGCCAGUGGCAGGUUGUUUGGAUAAAUAAAGGUUUUAGUUGCUUUAUCAUUAUGCCCACUUAGUACCUUUAGUUUCUUGCAUAUGUUAGAUAACAGUUCUUUUCGGAUACAUGAUUUCCUAUAAUUUUAUCCCAAUCUGUAGGGUGCCUUUUCUUUGGGUUCAUUGUUUUCUCCUUGUUUAUAAAUUUUAAAAUUGUCCUUUGGGAGCAGAUGGAGCUCUGAGGAAAUUGUGCCCAGAGCUCAGAGUAGAUGGAGCUGUGAGCAAGAUGAAGCUCAGAAUAGAUGGUGCUUAGAAUAAGAUGGAGCACCAAGCAUAUGGUGCUCAGGGCAAGAUGGAGCUUCAGUGAUUGUAGCUCAGAACAGAAGGAGCUCACAGAAGAUGUUGCUCCCAGUAAGAUGGAGUUCCAAGCAGAUGGUGCUCAGAGUAAGAUGGACCUAAAAGUGAUUAGAACUCCGAGAAAGAUAAUGCUGUCUGCUGAUGGUGCUUAGAGAGAGAUAGAGCUCAGAGUGAUUGCUCUGAGACAUUGCAGCUCCGAGCAGAUGGUGCUGGGAGCAAGAUGGAGCUCAGGGUGAUUGCCCUGAGAGAUUGGAGCUCCGAGCAGAUGGUGCUCGGAGCAAGAUGGAGCUCAGGGUGAUUGCCCUGAGAGAUUGGAGCUCUGAGCAGAUGGCGUUCGGAACAAGAUGGAGCUCAGGGUGAUUGCUCUGAGAGAUUGGAGCUCUGAGCAGAUGGUGUUCGGAGCAAGAUGGAGCUCAGGGUGAUUGCUCUGAGAGAUUGCAGCUCUGAGCAGAUGGUGCUCGGAGCAAGAUGGAGCUCUUAGUGAUUGGAGCUUUGAGCACAAUGGGGCUUGGAGCAGAUGCAGCUCUGAGCAACAUGUAGCUCAGAAAACAUGUUGCUUAUAGCAAGAUGGAGCUUGAGCAGAUGGUGCUCAGAGCAAAAUAAAGCUGGAAGUGAUUGGCGCUGUCAGCAAGAUAGAGCUCGGAGGAGAUGUAUCUCUGAGCAACAUGGAGCUUGGAACAGAUGAAGCUCUAAGCAAAAUUGAGCUUGGAGCAAAUGUUACUUGGUUUCAGAUGGAGCUCAGGGCAGAUGGUGCUCAGAGCAAGAGGGAGCUCAGAGAACAUGCUGCUCACAGUAAGAUGGCACUUGGAGCAGAUGAUGCUCAGAGCAGAAUGGAACUGGAAGUGAUUGGAGACGGAGCUCAGAGUGAUGGGAGCUCUAAGCAAGAUGGAGCUUGCAGCAAAUGGAGCUUGAAGUGGGUGGUUCUCAGAACAAGAUGGAGCUUGGAAUGUUGGGAGCUCCGAACCAAGUGGAGCUCAGAUCAGAUAGACCUGCAAGAUAGACCUCUGAGCA